GGGUAGCCGGCCUGAGAGGGUGACCGGCCACACUGGGACUGAGACACGGCCCAGACUCCUACGGGAGGCAGCAGUGGGGAAUAUUGCACAAUGGGCGCAAGCCUGAUGCAGCGACGCCGCGUGAGGGAUGACGGCCUUCGGGUUGUAAACCUCUUUCAGUAGGGAAGAAGCGAAAGUGACGGUACCUGCAGAAGAAGCGCCGGCUAACUACGUGCCAGCAGCCGCGGUAAUACGUAGGGCGCAAGCGUUAUCCGGAAUUAUUGGGCGUAAAGAGCUCGUAGGCGGUUUGUCGCGUCUGCCGUGAAAGUCCGGGGCUCAACUCCGGAUCUGCGGUGGGUACGGGCAGACUAGAGUGAUGUAGGGGAGACUGGAAUUCCUGGUGUAGCGGUGAAAUGCGCAGAUAUCAGGAGGAACACCGAUGGCGAAGGCAGGUCUCUGGGCAUUAACUGACGCUGAGGAGCGAAAGCAUGGGGAGCGAACAGGAUUAGAUACCCUGGUAGUCCAUGCCGUAAACGUUGGGCACUAGGUGUGGGGGACAUUCCACGUUUUCCGCGCCGUAGCUAACGCAUUAAGUGCCCCGCCUGGGGAGUACGGCCGCAAGGCUAAAACUCGAAGGAAUUGACGGGGGCCCGCACAAGCGGCGGAGCAUGCGGAUUAAUUCGAUGCAACGCGAAGAACCUUACCAAGGCUUGACAUGAACCGGUAACGCCUGGAGACAGGUGCCCCGCUUGCGGUCGGUUUACAGGUGGUGCAUGGUUGUCGUCAGCUCGUGUCGUGAGAUGUUGGGUUAAGUCCCGCAACGAGCGCAACCCUCGUUCUAUGUUGCCAGCACGUGAUGGUGGGGACUCAUAGGAGACUGCCGGGGUCAACUCGGAGGAAGGUGGGGACGACGUCAAAUCAUCAUGCCCCUUAUGUCUUGGGCUUCACGCAUGCUACAAUGGCCCGGUACAAAGGGGUUGCGAAACUGGUGAGGUGGAGCUAAUCCCAAAAAAGCCGGUCUUCAGUUCGGAUUGGGGUCUUGCAACUCGACCCCAUGAAGUCGGAGUUCGCUAGGUAUCGCAGAUCAGAUCUCACCUGGUGGAAUUUCGCGGGCCGCCGCCCUUGUC
Molecule: ribosomal RNA, 1106 nt
Filed under: uncultured Actinomyces sp.
Lineage: Bacteria; Bacillati; Actinomycetota; Actinomycetes; Actinomycetales; Actinomycetaceae
Description: bacterial SSU rRNA
Rfam family: Bacterial small subunit ribosomal RNA
Source: RNAcentral